Long non-coding RNA from Bombina bombina (fire-bellied toad), 2640 nucleotides. RefSeq lists it as uncharacterized. The transcript has 2 exons. The record is from RefSeq and is a predicted model, not a curated record. Lineage: Eukaryota; Metazoa; Chordata; Amphibia; Anura; Bombinatoridae.
AAUCCGUGGCUGAUGUCCUGAUGUACUCCCCGGAGAUGCGUUUUUCCCCGGGGAGCAGGAGUGUGUCGCUAUCCCCCUCUUUUGUCUCCGGACAGAGAGGGAUGGAAGGUGGGCCCCAGGCGCCAUUUUUAUUGGAGCCUCGUGGGGAUGCAGGGGCAGUGGAUCCUCUUCUGCGCGCCCGCUCAAGCUCCGCCCACCGCACUUCCGGUCGCCAUCUUGGGACCUGCUACGCAAUCCAUUCAGAUUGCGGCGAUGGAAGGAGCUGGAGCAGUCGCGUGUAGCUCCAAACCCUUGGGACAUCAGGUCCUUGCGGGCAGUUCUAAGCAGGUAGGUGGAGCCGCAGGGGGGAACGGGAGGGCCGGGGGGCCUGUCCCUCGCGGGGCAUAGGGCACUAAGAAGGGGAUGAAUAAUAAUAAUGUCGGAAAUAAGCCUAGUAGGAGUUCUAUUAGGAUUCAGGCGGCAAAUAAAGGGCCAUUAGGGCUGGUUUGUACUCCGGUACUGGGGAGAUCUGUUAGAAAAGUGGGGCAUAUGGAUUUAAUGGCAAGUUUAAGAAAAAGGCUGAUAUCAAGGCAUUUGUCAGGGGGGCAGUCUGCAGGAUCUGUGGGGUUGAGGGGUGCGACUGGGGGGCUCCCUGGGCAGCUUGUUUCUCCCUGUGUUGCUCCCACUUUUCCUUUUGUUCCACAGGCUGCUGUUACUGUACAUGAAGCGCAGGAGAUUGGAGUGGCUGGUGGCAGUGCGGCACAAGGCGGACCGAGAGCUGAGGUAGUCUCGACAGCAGGAGAGAAGGUGGUUGAAGGUUCCUCUGGAUCCACGCAGGCCGGGAUGGUAGCGGCAUCUGGAAACGGUCAGGACACGGGAUGCCGAAGAAUUUGGAUAGUUGGACAUUCUUAUGUUCAUUGGGCGGCCAUACGGGCAGCAUCCUGGGCGGGAGGUCAACAGUUGGUAUUGCCGACUAGCAAAGUGUCAAUUAGGUGGCUGGGUAGGAGGGGCAUGUUGUGGUCCCAACUGCCCGAACAGAUUAGUGAAGCCAGAAGGAGAUGGGUAGACCUCAUGUGAUUCUACUUCAUUUAGGAGGAAAUGAUGUGGGAACUAUGCCGAUGGGAGAUCUUGCUGAUAUUAUGGUUUCAGAUAUUAGGUGGCUGAGGACACAGUUUAAGGGAGUGACCAUUAUAUGGUCAAACAUUAUAUCCAGGAAUAUAUGGAGGCAUAUGGCUAUGAGGAAGGCUGGUUUUCGUGUAAAGAAGAAACUAAAUAGGGAUGUCUGUAAAGAGGUUUUGGCUUCAGGUGGGAAGGUAGUGUUGCAUGACAAUAUUCAUAUUGAUUAUGCGGGAUUGUUUAGGAAGGAUCAGGUGCAUUUAUCAGAUAAGGGUAAUGAUUUGUUCCUGGAGAAUAUUCGGCAGGUCCUGGCUUCUAGCUAUGUUUAGUGGGGCAAGAGUACCUUGUCCUCUUUGGGGUGGCGGAAAGGGGUGUGGCAUAACAAUCUAAUUGGCCGGUAACAUCAUAGAAGGAAAGUACAGUGGGCGUGUAGGACCCUAGUCGCCGAGGGUCUAGGGAUAGGUCGGCUCGCUGGUCGAUCUUCCUUGGGCAGAGAUGUAGGUGGAAUGAGGGCGUCCUCAUUUCCAGGGCGGCCACACCCCUUAGAGGGUUAAUUAGGACAAGAUCUUCUUGCCAGCUUGGUGGUUAUUCAGUAUUAAAGUUAUAUAUUUAUUUAAUAAAGCAACCCCUCCCCCUGUUGGGGAGGUGUUUUUUUCUCCCAACCCUGAGUGUUGUGUCGUUAUUGCAUAUAUAUAAGUUGGUAUUGGGAGGGUUGGUGUCAUGUUGACUGAAUGUAACUAAAAAAUGUAACCCCUUAGGAAAGUGGAAGACCUAAUUAGGGAUGUAACAAGUUAAGGGGUAAUUUUUUGUAAGGAAGGAAAAGCUGGUAUAGGGUUAAAAAGAUAGGAAGUGUUCCCUGCAGGGCAGGGGGAGGGAGCUUGAGAGGGUGGAGAUUCAGAGCUAAUAAUAGAGCUGCAGAACUGAAAGUAAAACCAGUAACCUGUUUUUUGUCUUCCCUCCCAGCCCUCCCUGUUUGGCAGUUGUUCGUUAUCUAAUUUUUUACAGGUCCGGUAGCAGAUGGAGGAGUUUCAGUUCGUAGCAGCUGGCUUAGUUUCCUUUGGUGGGGGGCUACAUAGUCAUGUGGACCUUUGUAAGCCCAAAGGCGUUAAUUGGUAGUAUGGGGUCUCCCUUCGGGACUAACAGUCUUUUGGCUGGGGGACCGUUGACUAUCCAGUAUUGGAGACUCCGUUAACCCUAAAAUUGAUAGGUGGGGGUUUGCAUCGCGGCAUGCUUUCCCAAGUGUGGCGGAAAGGGGUGUGGCAUAACAAUCUAAUUGGCCGGUAACAUCAUAGAAGGAAAGUACAGUGGGCGUGUAGGACCCUAGUCGCCGAGGGGCUAGGGAUAGGUCGGCUCGCUGGUCGAUCUUCCUUGGGCGGAGAUGUAGGCGGAAUGAGGGCGUCCUCAUUUCCAGGGCUGCCACACCCCUUAGAGGGUUAAUUAGGACAAGAUCUUCUUGCCAGCUUGGUGGUUAUUCAGUAUUAAAGUUAUUUAUUUAUUUAAUAAAGCAACCCCUCCCCCUGUUGGGGAGGUGUUUUUUUCUCCCAA